UACGUAGGGUGCGAGCGUUGUCCGGAAUUAUUGGGCGUAAAGCGCACGUAGGCGGAUCGAUCAGUCAGGGGUGAAAUCCCAGGGCUCAACCCUGGAACUGCCUUUGAUACUGUCGAUCUGGAGUAUGGAAGAGGUGAGUGGAAUUCCGAGUGUAGAGGUGAAAUUCGUAGAUAUUCGGAGAAACACCAGUGGCGAAGGCGGCUCACUGGUCCAUUACUGACGCUGAGGUGCGAAAGCGUGGGGAGCAAACAGG
RNAcentral lists this ribosomal RNA (253 nucleotides) under uncultured bacterium. RNAcentral's name for it is "partial 16S ribosomal RNA". It matches the Rfam family "Bacterial small subunit ribosomal RNA", at positions 524 to 776 of the family's 1533-position model. The record is from RNAcentral.